ACAGCAGCCGCCGCGGUAAGACAGAGGAUGCAAGCGUUAUCCGGAAUGAUUGGGCGUAAAGUGUCUGUAGGUGGCUUUUCAAGUCCGCCGUCAAAUCCCAGGGCUCAACCCUGGACAGGUGGUGGAAACUACCAAGCUGGAGUAUGGUAGGGGCAGAGGGAAUUUCCGGUGGAGCGGUGAAAUGCAUUGAGAUCGGAAAGAACACCAACGGCGAAAGCACUCUACUGGGCCGACAUUGACACUGAGAGACGAAAGGUAGGGGAGCAAAUGGGAUUAGAUACCCCGGUAGUCCCUGUCUCUUAUAC
Molecule: ribosomal RNA, 305 nt
Filed under: uncultured bacterium
Lineage: Bacteria
Description: partial 16S ribosomal RNA
Rfam family: Bacterial small subunit ribosomal RNA
Source: RNAcentral